GACGAACGCUGGCGGCGUGCUUAACACAUGCAAGUCGAACGAUGAAGCCUUAGCUUGCUUUGGUGGAUUAGUGGCGAACGGGUGAGUAACACGUGAGCAACGUGCCCAGGACUCUGGAAUAACCGCGGGAAACCGUGGCUAAUACCGGAUAGGUGCCGAUGCCGCAUGGUCUUCGGUUGGAAAGUUUUUGCGGUUCUGGAUCGGCUCACGGCCUAUCAGCUUGUUGGUGGGGUAAUGGCCUACCAAGGCGACGGCGGGUAGCCGGCCUGCGAGGGUGACCGGCCACACUGGGCCUGAGACAGGGGCCAGACUCCUACGGGAGGCAGCGGUGGAGAAUAUAGCACGAUGGGCGCAAGCAUGAUGCAGCGACGCCGCGUGGGGGAUGACGGCCUUCGGGUUGUAACCCUCUUUUAGUAGGGAAGAAGCGCAAGUGACGGUACCUGCAGAAAAAGCACCGGCUAACUACGUG
RNAcentral lists this ribosomal RNA (469 nucleotides) under uncultured bacterium. RNAcentral's name for it is "partial 16S ribosomal RNA". It matches the Rfam family "Bacterial small subunit ribosomal RNA", at positions 28 to 507 of the family's 1533-position model. The record is from RNAcentral.